UGCAAAGUGUUAUUGAGUGGAAGCAGCUC
This 29-nucleotide non-coding RNA is filed under the name Homo sapiens (human). The record is from RNAcentral. Lineage: Eukaryota; Metazoa; Chordata; Mammalia; Primates; Hominidae.